GUGCUUUGUUAUUUUCAUUGACUUCAGGAUAUCGUGAUAUUGAGAAUUCAAUGGUGUAUAGCAAGGAUCCU
This 71-nucleotide microRNA precursor is filed under the name Nicotiana sylvestris (wood tobacco). RNAcentral's name for it is "MIR8041 microRNA precursor family". It matches the Rfam family "MIR8041 microRNA precursor family". Lineage: Eukaryota; Viridiplantae; Streptophyta; Magnoliopsida; Solanales; Solanaceae. RNAcentral also lists the same sequence under 1 other name. The record is from Rfam by way of RNAcentral.